GUGGGGAAUCUUGCGCAAUGGGCGAAAGUCUGACGCAGCCAUACCGCGUGAAUGAUGAAGGUCUUAGGAUUGUAAAAUUCUUUCACCGGGGACGAUAAUGACGGUACCCGGAGAAGAAGCUCCGGCUAACUUCGUGCCAGCAGCCGCGGUAAUACGAAGGGGGCUAGCGUUGCUCGGAAUUACUGGGCGUAAAGGGCGCGUAGGCGGACAGCUUAGUCAGAGGUGAAAGCCCAGGGCUCAACUUUGGAAUUGCCUUUGAUACUGGAUGUCUUGAGUUUGGGAGAGGUGAGUGGAACUCCGAGUGUAGAGGUGAAAUUCGUAGAUAUUCGGAAGAACACCAGUGGCGAAGGCGACUCACUGGCCCAAUACUGACGCUGAGGCGCGAAAGCGUGGGGAGCAAACAGGAUUAGAAACCCGAGUAGUCC
RNAcentral lists this ribosomal RNA (425 nucleotides) under uncultured bacterium. RNAcentral describes it as "partial 16S ribosomal RNA". It matches the Rfam family "Bacterial small subunit ribosomal RNA", at positions 354 to 796 of the family's 1533-position model. The record is from RNAcentral.